RNAcentral lists this ribosomal RNA (474 nucleotides) under Hafnia paralvei. RNAcentral describes it as "bacterial SSU rRNA". It matches the Rfam family "Bacterial small subunit ribosomal RNA", at positions 1 to 470 of the family's 1533-position model. Lineage: Bacteria; Pseudomonadati; Pseudomonadota; Gammaproteobacteria; Enterobacterales; Hafniaceae. The record is from RNAcentral.
UUAAUUGAAGAGUUUGAUCAUGGCUCAGAUUGAACGCUGGCGGCAGGCCUAACACAUGCAAGUCGAGCGGUAGCACAAGAGAGCUUGCUCUCUGGGUGACGAGCGGCGGACGGGUGAGUAAUGUCUGGGAAACUGCCUGAUGGAGGGGGAUAACUACUGGAAACGGUAGCUAAUACCGCAUGACGUCUUCGGACCAAAGUGGGGGACCUUCGGGCCUCACGCCAUCAGAUGUGCCCAGAUGGGAUUAGCUAGUAGGUGGGGUAAUGGCUCACCUAGGCGACGAUCUCUAGCUGGUCUGAGAGGAUGACCAGCCACACUGGAACUGAGACACGGUCCAGACUCCUACGGGAGGCAGCAGUGGGGAAUAUUGCACAAUGGGCGCAAGCCUGAUGCAGCCAUGCCGCGUGUAUGAAGAAGGCCUUCGGGUUGUAAAGUACUUUCAGCGAGGAGGAAGGCAUUAAGGUUAAUAACCUU